UGAAAUAGCUGGUUCUCCGCGAAAUAUAUUUAGGUAUAGCGUCGCACGAAUACCCCGGGGGGUAGAGCACUGGAUGGGCUAGGGGGUCCCAAAGACCUACCAAACCUAACCAAACUCCGAAUACCCGGGAGUACUAUGCGGCAGUCAGACAGUGGAUGCUAACGUUCAUUGUCGAGAGGGAAAGAACCCAGACCUUCGUCUAAGUACCCCAAAGUGGUGGUUAAGUUGGAAAGGAUGUGGAACGACCAUAACAGCCAGGAGGUUGGCUUAGAAGCAGCCAUCCUUUAAAGAAAGCGUAACAGCUCACUGGUCUAAUAGUUAUUCUGCGCCUAAAAUGUAACGGGGAUCAAACCACCCGCCGAAGACAAGGACUUACCCGCAAGGGCUAAGUGGUAGCGGAGCGUUCUGUAAGCCUGUGAAGCCAGUCCGACAAGGAAUGGUGGAGGUAUCAGAAGUGAGAAUGCUGACAUGAGUAACGACCAAAAGUGUGAGAAACACUUUCGCCGAAUGACCAAGGGUUCCUGCGUCAAGUUAAUCUGAGCAGGGUUAGCCGGUCCCUAAGACGAGGCAGACAUGCGUAGUCGAUGGAAACCACGUUAAUAUUCGUGGGCCUGUGGGUAGUGACGGAUCCGAAUCUUUGUUCCAGCUUAUUGGAUUGCUGGGGCGGGGAGGAGGGUUCCAGGAAAUAGCUCCCACAUUAUAGUCCGUACCCGAAACCGACACAGGUGGUCAGGUAGAGUAUACCAAGGCGCUUGAGAGAACGAUGCUGAAGGAACUAGGCAACUUGCUCGCGUAACUUCGGGAUAAGCGAGCCCCAACUGUACGCAAGUAUGAUUGGGGGACACAAACCAGGGGGUUGCGACUGUUUAUUAAAAACACAGGGCUGUGCAAACUCGUUAAGAGGAUGUAUACGGUCUGACGCCUGCCCGGUGCUGGAAGGUUAAAAGGAGAUGUGCAAGCAUUGAAUUGAAGCCCCAGUAAACGGCGGCCGUAACUAUAACGGUCCUAAGGUAGCGAAAUUCCUUGUCGGGUAAGUUCCGACCCGCACGAAUGGCGUAACGACAUCCCCGAUGUCUCCAGCAUCGACUCAGUGAAAUUGAAUUCUCCGUGAAGAUGCGGAGUUCCCGCGGUUAGACGGAAAGACCCCGUGCACCUUUACUGUAACUUUGCACUGGCAUUAGGAAAUAAUUGUGUAGAAUAGGUGGGAGACGAUGAAACUUGGGCGCCAGCCCGAGUGGAGUCACAAUGUGAAAUACCACCCUGUUGUUUCUUGAUGUCUAACCUAGGCUCGUAAUCCGGGUCAGGGACCAUGCAUGGUAGGCAGUUUGACUGGGGCGGUCGCCUCCUG
This 1348-nucleotide ribosomal RNA is filed under the name metagenome. RNAcentral describes it as "bacterial LSU rRNA". It matches the Rfam family "Bacterial large subunit ribosomal RNA", at positions 841 to 2292 of the family's 2925-position model. The record is from RNAcentral.